GCUCUCGGGUGACGAGUGGCGGACGGGUGAGUAAUGUCUGGGAAACUGCCCGAUGGAGGGGGAUAACUACUGGAAACGGUAGCUAAUACCGCAUAAUGUCGCAAGACCAAAGAGGGGGACCUUCGGGCCUCUUGCCAUCGGAUGUGCCCAGAUGGGAUUAGCUUGUAGGUGAGGUAACGGCUCACCUAGGCGACGAUCCCUAGCUGGUCUGAGAGGAUGACCAGCCACACUGGAACUGAGACACGGUCCAGACUCCUACGGGAGGCAGCAGUGGGGAAUAUUGCACAAUGGGCGCAAGCCUGAUGCAGCCAUGCCGCGUGUAUGAAGAAGGCCUUCGGGUUGUAAAGUACUUUCAGCGGGGAGGAAGGGAGUGAGGUUAAUAACCUUAUUCAUUGACGUUACCCGCAGAAGAAGCACCGGCUAACUCCGUGCCAGCAGCCGCGGUAAUACGGAGGGUGCAAGCGUUAAUCGGAAUUACUGGGCGUAAAGCGCACGCAGGCGGUCUGUCAAGUCGGAUGUG
Molecule: ribosomal RNA, 520 nt
Filed under: Klebsiella oxytoca
Lineage: Bacteria; Pseudomonadati; Pseudomonadota; Gammaproteobacteria; Enterobacterales; Enterobacteriaceae
Description: bacterial SSU rRNA
Rfam family: Bacterial small subunit ribosomal RNA
Source: RNAcentral